GGAUGUGAGGGCAAUCUGGCUGCGGCAUCUGUCAUCCCAUUGAUCACCAGGGUUGAUUCAGCUGAUCUGACUGGUUAGGCAGGUGUCCCCUUCCUCCCUCACUGCUCCAUAUGUGUCCCUCCCAAAGCUGAAUGCUCAGUCGAAGAGGAUGACCAUCCCCGAUAGAGGAGGAUCAGUCUUCAGUCAAGGGCAUAUGAGUACCUCCGCUCCCCUGCUAGAAACUCCAAACAAGCUAUCUAUCAUCUAUCUAUCUAUCUAUCUAUCU
This 265-nucleotide small RNA is filed under the name Pongo abelii (Sumatran orangutan). It matches the Rfam family "7SK RNA", at positions 1 to 247 of the family's 331-position model. From Rfam's summary of the family: 7SK was discovered as an abundant small nuclear RNA in the mid-70s but a possible function has only recently been suggested. Two independent studies have found that 7SK RNA binds the CDK9/cyclin T complex (known as elongation factor P-TEFb). Lineage: Eukaryota; Metazoa; Chordata; Mammalia; Primates; Hominidae. The record is from RNAcentral.